This 499-nucleotide ribosomal RNA is filed under the name uncultured bacterium. Its description in RNAcentral is "partial 16S ribosomal RNA". It matches the Rfam family "Bacterial small subunit ribosomal RNA", at positions 899 to 1397 of the family's 1533-position model. The record is from RNAcentral.
ACUCAAAGGAAUUGACGGGGGCCCGCACAAGCGGUGGAUCAUGUGGUUUAAUUCGAAGCAACGCGCAGAACCUUACCUAGGUUUGACAUCUCUGGACCGCCGUAGAAAUACGGUUUCUGUAGCAAUACAGCCGGAUGACAGGUGCUGCAUGGCUGUCGUCAGCUCGUGUGGUGACAUGUUGGGUUAAGUCCCGCAACGAGCGCAACCCCUGUUCUUAGUUGCCAGCAUUCAGUUGGGCUCUCUAAGAAGACUGCCGUGGUUAACACGGAGGAAGGUGGGGAUGACGUCAAGUCCUCAUGGCCUUUAUAUCUAGGGCGACACACGUGAUACAAUGGUUGGUACAAAGGGACGCGAACCCGCGAGGGGGAGCUAAUCUCAAAAAGCCAAUCUCAGUUCGGAUUGGAGUCUGCAACUCGACUCCAUGAAGUUGGAAUCGCUAGUAAUCGCGGAUCAGAACGCCGCGGUGAAUACGUUCCCGGGCCUUGUACACACCGCCCGU